Molecule: transfer RNA, 65 nt
Filed under: Erotylidae sp. BMNH 1274780
Lineage: Eukaryota; Metazoa; Arthropoda; Insecta; Coleoptera; Erotylidae
Description: tRNA-Gly
Source: RNAcentral
AUUUAUAUAGUAUAAAAAUUAUUUUUAACUUCCAAUUAAAAGAUUUAACUUAGUUAAUAUAAAUA